Molecule: long non-coding RNA, 245 nt
Organism: Juglans microcarpa x Juglans regia
Lineage: Eukaryota; Viridiplantae; Streptophyta; Magnoliopsida; Fagales; Juglandaceae
Exons: 4
Source: RefSeq, a predicted model, not a curated record
GAAAGUGAACUGGCAGUUUGGACAUUAUUUAGCCGUGCAAGGACGUGUUCACCAUGCAUACUUUUCUUUGACGAGGUGGAUGCUUUGACAACAAAGCGUGGUGAAGAAGGGGGAUGGGUUGUCGAGAGAUUACUGAACCAGUUACUUAUAGAGUUAGACGGUGCAGAGCAGCGGAGGGGUGUUUUUGUCAUCGGUGCAACAAAUAGACCUGAGGUGAUGGACCAUGCUGUCUUACAGCAUUGUAG